Molecule: ribosomal RNA, 466 nt
Filed under: uncultured bacterium
Lineage: Bacteria
Description: bacterial SSU rRNA
Rfam family: Bacterial small subunit ribosomal RNA
Source: RNAcentral
UGAGGAAUAUUGGUCAAUGGACGAAAGUCUGAACCAGCAACGCCGCGUGAGGGAUGAAGGUCUAAGGAUCGUAAACCUCUGUUAGAGGGGACGAAUGGUCUCGAAUUGGCGAGACUUGACGGUACCCUCAGAGAAAGCCCCGGCUAACUACGUGCCAGCAGCCGCGGUAAUACGUAGGGUGCAAGCGUUAAUCGGAAUUACUGGGCGUAAAGCGUGCGCAGGCGGUUGUGUAAGUCAGAUGUGAAAUCCCCGGGCUCAACCUGGGAAUUGCAUUUGAGACUGCACGGCUAGAGUGUGUCAGAGGGGGGUAGAAUUCCACGUGUAGCAGUGAAAUGCGUAGAUAUGUGGAGGAAUACCGAUGGCGAAGGCAGCCCCCUGGGAUAACACUGACGCUCAUGCACGAAAGCGUGGGGAGCAAACAGGAUUAGAUACCCGCGUAGUCCCUGAGCGGGCUGGCAAGGCGCAU